GGGAUUAUAUUUACUCAUAAUAUUUGAAUUGCAAUCAAAAGGUACCCUAGGGGGGUUAAUCUUU
Molecule: transfer RNA, 64 nt
Filed under: Nesophrosyne sp. 29 GMB-2012
Lineage: Eukaryota; Metazoa; Arthropoda; Insecta; Hemiptera; Cicadellidae
Description: tRNA-Ala
Source: RNAcentral